GCAAGUGUAAAAAAAAUUGGAAACAGUGACCGCGAGUAAUUUUUUUAAAUUUACGUUUGCGGAGUUUAACAGGGGUUCCUGAAUUCACAAGGUUAAGUGAAAAAAUGCACAUAAUUUGUUUGAAAACACUAUUUUACUAGAUUCUUGUCAAAACAUUUUUCUAUUGACAAGAGGACAGGUAACAAGAUUUAGAAUGGAACGUGAUCGAAACGUGAUUUUGAAUUGUCUGGAUUAAAUGCGGAUCAAUUAUUAUUUGUGGCCUUAUCAAAGAGAGUGUCAGUGGUAGACAACCGACUCUUUUAGUUUCCUGUUUAAGAAACUUUAAAUAGAGAUUUCAUUUUUUUAAGAUCUGGUAUUAUAACACGUUUUGAACACGGAGUGAACCAUGUCGUGCAAUAAUCAUAGAAAUUUACUGGGCUUUUAAAUAUAAUUUAUUAUUACUCUUUUUGUUCAAGAGCACUUUGGUUGAACCAAAAGAAGAAAUGUAAAUGUUCUUCUCUGCUCUCAUCGGCUUUCACUAUCUUAAUGCAUGUUGAUUAAUUAACCUUUUUUUUGUUAUUUUUCACCUUCAUCAUCCAAAAAACUGCGACGCUUACGCUUAUUUUACGUAAAGGUACAUUACAACUACAACGUGAGCAUAUUGUUGUAAUGUUGUUACACAUGCGUUAUUUAGUUUGUCGUGUCCACCAACUCCUGAUCUUUAAACUGGGAUGUGCACAGGAUGUGCACUUGUAAACUUGUAAUGUUGUUACAUUCGUUAUUCAAUGUCUCGUUUCCGUCAACUGCUGAUUUUGAAACUUGGAGGUUCACCUACCCUAUAUUUUAUAAUAGUCGUACUGACAAAACCUAGACGACCAGUUGGUAGGUAGGACGUUGACGUCACGACACCCAGGUCGACCACGGUACCACGCAAGGUGAAGAAAACCUGUUGUUGACAAGCAGUGGCGCAGUAUUAUUGUAAUGUGUUUGAAACUUAGAUAUGGUUGCAGAGGAAUAUUUUUAAAAAAAGUCCCUCGAGCGGUUCUAAAUGUAAGAUUCAUUUAUUCACCGAAGAAACGAGUCAAAUGAUAGAAGAAGAAAAUGUCAAUUGACCCAUGCCCAGUAACGUCAACCUGCAGAAGAAAACGCCAGUUUGCAUUUAACAAUCGAAGGCCACGGAGAUUAUUACACAAAACGUGCCAUGCAGUGGUGUGGAGGUUGGGUGAGAACGAGACGUGUUAGAAAACCAUUUGGUAUUCAUUUUGAAUUUUGAUAUUGGUUUUUGUAGACCCAUCCCC
Long non-coding RNA from Daphnia pulicaria, 1277 nucleotides. RefSeq lists it as uncharacterized. NCBI's taxonomy places the organism in Eukaryota, Metazoa, Arthropoda, Branchiopoda, Diplostraca, Daphniidae. The transcript has 3 exons. The record is from RefSeq and is a predicted model, not a curated record.